GGAUUGUGGCUUAGUGGUAAAGUGCUUGCCUAGCAUGUAUGAGGCACUGGGUUCGAUUCUCAGCACCA
This 68-nucleotide transfer RNA is filed under the name Marmota monax (woodchuck). RNAcentral describes it as "tRNA.Ala". The stretch from base 5 to 65 matches the Rfam family "tRNA", at positions 6 to 65 of the family's 71-position model. From Rfam's summary of the family: Transfer RNA (tRNA) molecules are approximately 80 nucleotides in length. Their secondary structure includes four short double-helical elements and three loops (D, anti-codon, and T loops). Lineage: Eukaryota; Metazoa; Chordata; Mammalia; Rodentia; Sciuridae. The record is from RNAcentral.